AUGAAACACUCCUACGGGAGGCAGCAGUGGGGAAUCUUGCGCAAUGGGCGAAAGCUGACGCAGCCAUGCCGCGUGGAUGAUGAAGGUCUUAGGAUUGUAAAAUCCUUUCACCGGUGAAGAUAAUGACUGUAGCCGGAGAAGAAGCCCCGGCUAACUUCGUGCCAGCAGCCGCGGUAAUACGAAGGGGGCUAGCGUUGCUCGGAAUUACUGGGCGUAAAGGGAGCGUAGGCGGACAUUUAAGUCAGGGGUGAAAUCCCAGAGCUCAACUCUGGAACUGCCUUUGAUACUGGGUGUCUUGAGUGUGAGAGAGGUAUGUGGAACUCCGAGUGUAGAGGUGAAAUUCGUAGAUAUUCGGAAGAACACCAGUGGCGAAGGCGACAUACUGGCUCAUUACUGACGCUGAGGCUCGAAAGCGUGGGGAGCAAACAGGAUUAGAAACCCGUGUAGUCCGAAGUUC
RNAcentral lists this ribosomal RNA (457 nucleotides) under uncultured bacterium. RNAcentral's name for it is "bacterial SSU rRNA". It matches the Rfam family "Bacterial small subunit ribosomal RNA", at positions 328 to 802 of the family's 1533-position model. The record is from RNAcentral.